RNAcentral lists this long non-coding RNA (691 nucleotides) under Nicotiana benthamiana. RNAcentral describes it as "long non-coding RNA (NBEN_LNC006807)". The record is from RNAcentral. Lineage: Eukaryota; Viridiplantae; Streptophyta; Magnoliopsida; Solanales; Solanaceae.
UUUCUUGGAGAUUCGAGAGAGGACAGUUAUGUGAGGUGCCGCCAUCACCAAUUUUGGCUAGCUUGCCGGUGAUCCGGUUAGAUAGAAAACAAGAGCCAAGGCUUUUCAGGGAAGCUGCUCUUUUUUUGGGGUGUCUAGGUUGUGUUGCUGAUGUUGAGGUGGGUGGAAGCCGGUAGAGGAGUGAGCAGCGGGUUCCAGUGGUUGUCAGCAGUAGGGGCUUGGAGAGUGGUCAGCGACUGGUCAGGUUGGAGUUUCAGGCGAGCUAUUGUGAGAGAGAUGGAGGUCAGGCGAGCUGGGUGUUCUUUGGCAGGGUUGCGACUGGGCGGCAGCUAUGGAGAUUUGGAGAAGAUCUAGGUGCUGGUCUCUUGUAGAAGAAGAUGAAAUGGCUGCUUACUUUUUAGAGAACAAAGGCCGUUGUCUUUUUUCCGGCGAAUUUUUUGGGUUUAAGAUGGGGCAGCGACGUUGUUGUUAUGGACGAAGAAGAAGGAGUUCAUUGUUCUCUUCAUUAGGGUUCGUAUGGUUGUCAAGUUUGAAGCUGUGGAGGAGGUACGAAAAUGCUACCAUGGAUGUGUUUUGGAGAAGAAGAUGAAGCUAGGGUUCUCAGAUGUUGUAGUUCAAUGAAGAAGAAGAUGCACCUUAGCUCUCUUUUAAAAAAAUGGCUCUCUUGUAUGUUAUAAUUUUAGGGUUUUUC